AACUAUUCAUUCAUUCAUUCUCUAAUUGCUCUGUUCUCUCUCUCUCUGAUAAUAAUAAUCUCAUUCUUUUCUGAAAGCUCUCUCUCUCUCUGAUUCAUUCUUCUUGCUGUUGUUUCGUUUUCAUGGAAUCACCGCGCACUCCGAUUUCAUCUCCGCUCCCAAUUUCCAUCUUCAUGGAAUCACCGCGCACUCCGAUUUCAUCGCCAUCGUCCCUCUCGUCGGUAACUCCUUCACCUCGCACUCCUCUCUGUGAAUCUCCGAUGAUGGAUCAUACUCCUCCGAUUUCACCUCGCACUCCGAUUUCGUCCCUGUCGUCGGUAACUCCUUCACCUCCUCGUGCACCCAAAAAAAGCAAUAAGCAACGAAGGAUAUAUUCUACCCCGAUGCUACGCUUAAUGGAUCGAAUCAUUCAAGAUGGUGAAUUGUGGUUGCUUGAGUAUCGAAGGAAUCAGAACACCGCUCAACUCAUCGAAAACGAGAGAAAGAGAAAAAUCAAAAUUUUGAUGUCACUUCGAUGAUGAUGAUGAUAGUAACCCAUUCUCUCUUAUUAUUCCUUUUCAGACAUGAUGACAUAUAUAGAUAGGUGCUUUCUAUAUCAAAAUGGGUAAGGAAAAAGGGUAAGAUUCCAUUGUUAUUUUUUGACAUAAUAUAUAGAUGCUUUCUAUAUGGAAAUAGGUGAGUUCAUUGAAACUUCCUCCUUCUCAGGCUCGUUAGUUUUCAAUUUCAUUUCCAUAAAGUUUUAAACUUUCUUCUUUCUAGGUUAUAAAAAUUGUGUCUUUAGUUAUGUCGUUUUAAUUUGGGUAAUUUCAUUUAUCUAUUUUUUGUUUCAGAAAAUGUGGUUUUUGUUUAUUUGUUGUAUUCUUUUUGUUGAUGAUUUAUGUUCUUGAUUGUGUUUUGGUGUUUGGACUUUUGACUAAUUUGUUGGUGAUCUAUAUAGGUUUCAUUUUAUGGAGGUAGGUAUGUAAUUUUUUUAUCGGGUUUGUGGAGGUUUGACACCGCCCGCCAAUGGAUGGUACUAACCAAACAAAACUUUCAUCAAGUUCUUCCUAGUUUCAACUGUUUCAUCUUUGACUGAGUUUCUAUUUUCUUUUAUUAUGCAAUUGUGAUUAAUGAUAUGUUGGAGAGAAGAUAUAUUUUUUUGUGUUUGUUUGAAUCCAUAACUACCUUGAUUGUCAGAGUCAAUGCAGGUACUACAGCUAUUGUAGGAUAAAAAUCAGUCUCGUCUCUUCAGGUCAUUAGAGAAAGGAGCAGAAGAUACUAUAAGAGGCUGAGAGGGUAAUCAUAUCUGAAACAGUUCUAGUUAUCGUUAUUGAAGUUCUCAAUGGAUACAUUGCUUACCUAUGUUCUGGCUUCAAAAUAUCAUUGCAACAGAAUAGUGUGAGUAAAAGGAAGAAAAUAGGACCCUGAUGGAAAUGGCUCGAUUCUUGGCUAUACGAGAAAAGUACGCCUAAGAAGAGUUGAAGAAGAAUAUGGACGAUGCUUAGUUGGAUGCUUAAUUAAGGUGCCUUACGUCAGGCUGUUAGCAUCUUUUCAAGAUUUCUGCAUUAUGCUAGUGAGGAGCUUCUCAAUGUAGCAACGAGUGUUGAGAUAUAAUAACAAAAUGGGUAAGGAAAAAGGGUAAGAUUCGAUUGUUAUUUUUUGACAUAAUAUAUAGAUGAUGCUUUCUAUAUGGAAAUAGGUGAGGGAAAAUGGUGAGUUAUUUCUUCCUUUCCAUUGUUAUUUUAUUUUAUUUGUUUGAAAUUGUGAUAUGAUGAUCUGUUGGGGGGAGAAGGAGAACAUCUCAUCUCAGGUAGGUAUGUAAUUUUUUUUACCAAAAUCAUUUUAAAUUCAUAACUAAUUUGAUUUGAUAGUCGAAGUGUCUUUGCAGGUAGAACAACAUUGCUAUGCUUGUAAGUGGGAUAUCAAUUUAUUUUUUGCCUCUUUUGAUCUGGUUUUUAUAGUAUGAAAAAUGGUAACUUUCAAUAAUUGUUUGCUUGUGCAUGGUGUCAUUUACAAGGCCAGAAACUUAAUGGUAUUUAAAGCCUUGAAGGUAAAGCUCUGGGGCUGGAAGAUGUGUUUGAAAUGGUAAAAAUAAGGGAUUUGAGUAUUCAAUAUCACAAUGGUGUUUAAAUCCCUUAGGUUGUAAUGAACAUAUGUAUUUUUAAUAAAGGGAAUGGAGAGGUUGACAGUAUGGAGAGGUCAUGUGCAGAGAGAUGGUAUUUAGAAGGAAAUGGAGAGGCAUCUAGUUUUUACAUUUUUGCUUUGUUCAACAAAGGUAUCAGGUGUUGGGCGAAACAUCUGUAAAAUAUUUAUGUUUUGACUAUGUUUGGAAUUGUUUGCUAACUUGGAGGCGGGCAAGUAUGGAUGUUGAAUCAAUGAGGCUCAACUGACAUUAAAGAGAGUUGGUAUGGGCAAGUAUGAAUGUUGGUUCAAUGUCUGCAUCGCAAGUAUGAAUUUGUUUAGUGAAGGUUAAAAGUUUUUCAUUACACUUGUUGCAAUGUGAGGGAGCUGCUGUUGUAUAAUUCACUGGUCUUGUUAGCAAUUUUUCAACGUAACUAGAAAUAGAAUGACUUUUAGUAUGUGUUGUUAAGUAGGACUUCCUAACCAUAUGUUGUUCCUUUUCCCUUUUCAGUGACUUACCAUAAAUUUCAGUGUCAGUCUUUAAAGCUUAUAAAAGUGUGUGUUGGUAAUUCGAUCUUCUGUUAAAGUCCAAAAAAGUUUACCCUUACGUUUAGUAUUAAAUAGUUUUUACUUCCUUUACAACAACAAUGUUAAUAACAAUGGAUGCCUGAGGUUGUUUCUUGAAAUAGGAUGAGGCUGACUACAUAUGUUAUGUACUAAUUUGUAAUGGCGAUGGAUAAUAAUACUCACAUUCUGAAUUUUGUUUCAGGCCGCCAAGGGAGCAAUUAUUGGUGACAAUUUCAUUGUAUUAGAUUGUGAUGAUCAUUGCUAUAAAUUUAGGGGACCAUUCUGCACGGAUAUAUGUGCUCAUGGACUGUGCUUCUGUAGCUUUAGUGAGUUUUAACAAAGCUCAUAUUGGAAUGCAUUUUUAGUAGUUAAUGGAGAGAACUCUCUGAUGGCGAGAGUGGAAACUAUCCUCUGUCUACCCUAUGGGGAGCUCCAUCUGGUCUCCGACCUAGCUAUGCAUAGAGGAGUGUCAUUGACAUGGGGGUCUGCGAGAACAUUGGAAAUUGGCAGAAGGUGAAAAUUUGUGUGACAAUUGACUUCUGGGCCAGGCUGGGUUCAUGGUGUGGAGUCAUGCUUCAAAUUUAAAUUAUGGUACCUUUGUGAGUUAGGUACUCAAUGUUGAACCAAAACAGUAGAAAAGAGGGUUGUUUUAAUGCCUAUGGAACUCAACAAAUCUUGAACAUCCCCAUUUAUUGGAGACAAGAUGUCUUGGCCAGGGGAAAGAGAUAGGAACUACUCCGUUAGAUUAACCUAUCAUUUUAAUGGGUUAGUUGGGAAAAAGUUUGUAAGUAGGAAAAGACGGGGAGGGGCUGGGUAUAAAACAAUUAGAGAUCUUUCAACUUAGCUUUAUUAGGAAGUUUAUAAAAUUGGGGAGAUUUCAACUUAUCUAUUAGGAAGUGGCUUUGGCCUUUGGAGAUUCAAUGUGGAAAAAGUGUCUAUUUGGUGGUAAGAUAGUGACUUGUAUCAAUGUGAGGGGGAUGUGAUGCAGGAAAAUCUAUAGUGCCGACUGCUGAGUUGGUAAGAUAUUGACUUGAGAAUUGCCUUGGAAACCUUCUAUAGGCACUAAAGAUAUCUUUUAAAGCGAGGAGUCGGAGGCAGGUACAUGUCUGAUCGGUUGUGGUAAAGAAGAGGAUGUUAACAUCUACUUUUUGAAUGUUCAAUUAUGUCGAGACGGUAAUGAAGUCAAUAAUCAUGUUGCACAGUUCUCAUGAUUAUUAAGGGUUGGGGAGACUGUAAUGUAUAAAAGAGGAAUCUCAUAAUCUGGUUUCCAUGUGUAUGGGGUGUAUUUUGAAGGCAGGAAAACUUACUGGUUUUUGAAGGUAAUACUUUUGGGAUGGAAGAUAUGUUUGAGUAUUCAAUAACACGAUGAUGAUAUAUUGGUAAUAAAAGUCAGAAUGGAGUUGGGUUCAAAUAUCUCUUAAAGUGUGCUUCAAGAAACGGGGUUGACUGUUGAGAGUUCAAGUUCAAGACAAUCUUGUGCUUACUUUCGAUUUACUUCCAUGUACUGCUAAUACUAGGUUAAUCCUCCUCUGUCAUGGCUUGAAUUUGUAUACCUUAAUUUUCUGUCCAGUCACAAGAAAAUCUUUCAGAUGCCUGUGUUAUGCACUGGUUUAGUUUAUACGGCUGCUACCUACUAGUUUGUUAAUUUAAAAAAAAAGACAGAUUUUGCUCUCUAGGCAAGAUGUUCUAGUGUAGAAAAAUAUAAAAAUAUAAUAAUCUCUUAAGUUUUUUUUUUA
Long non-coding RNA from Trifolium pratense (red clover), 4403 nucleotides. RefSeq lists it as uncharacterized. The transcript is spliced from 2 exons. The record is from RefSeq and is a predicted model, not a curated record. Lineage: Eukaryota; Viridiplantae; Streptophyta; Magnoliopsida; Fabales; Fabaceae.